Molecule: ribosomal RNA, 521 nt
Filed under: uncultured bacterium
Lineage: Bacteria
Description: bacterial SSU rRNA
Rfam family: Bacterial small subunit ribosomal RNA
Source: RNAcentral
AAUAGAUACCCGGGUAGUCCACGCCGUAAACGAUGAGUGCUAAGUGUUGGAGGGUUUCCGCCCUUCAGUGCUGCAGCUAACGCAUUAAGCACUCCGCCUGGGGAGUACGGUCGCAAGACUGAAACUCAAAGGAAUUGACGGGGGCCCGCACAAGCGGUGGAGCAUGUGGUUUAAUUCGAAGCAACGCGAAGAACCUUACCAGGUCUUGACAUCUCCUGACCGCCCUGGAGACAGGGGUCUUCCCCUCGGGGACAGGAUGACAGGUGGUGCAUGGUUGUCGUCAGCUCGUGUCGUGAGAUGUUGGGUUAAGUCCCGCAACGAGCGCAACCCUUGGUUCUAGUUGCCAGCAUUCAGUUGGGCACUCUAGAGCGACUGCCGGCGACAAGUCGGAGGAAGGUGGGGAUGACGUCAAAUCAUCAUGCCCCUUAUGACCUGGGCUACACACGUGCUACAAUGGAUGGUACAAAGGGCAGCGAAGCGGCGACGCAUGAGCGAAUCCCAGAAAACCAUUCUCAGUUCGG